GGGCGUGUGGUCUAGAGGUAUGAUUCUCGCUUUGGGUUGAUAUAAUACAAAAAUGCGAGAGGCCCUGGGUUCAAUUCCCAGCUCGCCCC
RNAcentral lists this transfer RNA (89 nucleotides) under Henningerozyma blattae CBS 6284. RNAcentral's name for it is "Tetrapisispora blattae CBS 6284 tRNA". It matches the Rfam family "tRNA". From Rfam's summary of the family: Transfer RNA (tRNA) molecules are approximately 80 nucleotides in length. Their secondary structure includes four short double-helical elements and three loops (D, anti-codon, and T loops). The record is from Rfam by way of RNAcentral. Lineage: Eukaryota; Fungi; Ascomycota; Saccharomycetes; Saccharomycetales; Saccharomycetaceae.